Molecule: ribosomal RNA, 433 nt
Filed under: uncultured bacterium
Lineage: Bacteria
Description: partial 16S ribosomal RNA
Rfam family: Bacterial small subunit ribosomal RNA
Source: RNAcentral
AACGAACGCUGGCGGCAUGCCUAACACGUGCAAGUCGAACGAGACCUUCGGGUCUAGUGGCGCACGGGUGCGUAACGCGUGGGAACCUGCCUUUAGGUUCGGAAUAACUCAGAGAAAUUUGAGCUAAUACCGGAUGAUGUCUUCGGACCAAAGAUUUAUCGCCUUUAGAUGGGCCCGCGUUGGAUUAGCUAGUUGGUGGGGUAAAGGCCUACCAAGGCGACGAUCCAUAGCUGGUCUGAGAGGAUGAUCAGCCACACUGGGACUGAGACACGGCCCAGACUCCUACGGGAGGCAGCAGUGGGGAAUAUUGGACAAUGGGCGAAAGCAUGAUACAGCAAUGACGCGUGAGUGAUGAAGGCCUUAGGGUUGUAAAGCUCUUUUACCCGAGAUGAUAAUGACAGUAUCGGGAGAAUAAGCUCCGGCUAACUCCGUG